This 493-nucleotide long non-coding RNA is filed under the name Ananas comosus (pineapple). Its description in RNAcentral is "long non-coding RNA (ACOM_LNC020095)". The record is from RNAcentral. Lineage: Eukaryota; Viridiplantae; Streptophyta; Magnoliopsida; Poales; Bromeliaceae.
UUUGGUUCAGGAAUUAGUAGGAACUAGUUAUACCGGGGAUAGGUACAAGUAUGGGUUUUUGUAAGGCAGAGUUUUUUUUUAUUUGGAUGAAAAUGUGAGUAUAAGCUGGAACUAGAUAAAUUGUGUUUGGAUAGUUAUUGGGAAUAAGAGAAAUUGUUGAUGUUUAUAAAUAGAAAAUAAUGAUAUUACCCCUAUAAUUGAAUUUAAAUUUUUAAAUUUAAACUUAUAAUUUUACAUGAAAAAUUUUAACUUUUAAAUUUUAAAAUUUGAAAUUAAAAUUUGAAAUUUAAAUAUUCAAAUUUAUAAAUUUUAAAUUUUAAAUUUUAAAUUUAAGACCAAAUUUAAAUUUGAAAUAUAUAAAAUAUCAAAUAUAAAAUUUAAAAAUUUAUAAUAACAAAUUAAAAUUUUAAACUUUAAAAUUUAUAAUAACAAUUUUAAAUUUUAAUUUUAAAAUUAUAAAAUUUAAAUUCUAAAUUUUAAAAUAAAACUCUCU